RNAcentral lists this ribosomal RNA (467 nucleotides) under uncultured bacterium. Its description in RNAcentral is "partial 16S ribosomal RNA". It matches the Rfam family "Bacterial small subunit ribosomal RNA", at positions 28 to 506 of the family's 1533-position model. The record is from RNAcentral.
GACGAACGCUGGCGGCGUGCUUAACACAUGCAAGUCGAACGGAAAGGCCCUGCUUUUGUGGGGUGCUCGAGUGGCGAACGGGUGAGUAACACGUGAGUAACCUGCCCUUGACUUUGGGAUAACUUCAGGAAACUGGGGCUAAUACCGGAUAGGAGCUCCUGCUGCAUGGUGGGGGUUGGAAAGUUUCGGCGGUUGGGGAUGGACUCGCGGCUUAUCAGCUUGUUGGUGGGGUAGUGGCUUACCAAGGCUUUGACGGGUAGCCGGCCUGAGAGGGUGACCGGCCACAUUGGGACUGAGAUACGGCCCAGACUCCUACGGGAGGCAGCAGUGGGGAAUAUUGCACAAUGGGCGGAAGCAUGAUGCAGCAACGCCGCGUGCGGGAUGACGGCCUUCGGGUUGUAAACCGCUUUCGCCUGUGACGAAGCGUGAGUGACGGGAAUGGGUAAAGAAGCACCGGCUAACUACGU